This 548-nucleotide ribosomal RNA is filed under the name Actophilornis africanus (african jacana). Its description in RNAcentral is "partial 12S ribosomal RNA". It matches the Rfam family "Bacterial small subunit ribosomal RNA", at positions 658 to 1405 of the family's 1533-position model. Lineage: Eukaryota; Metazoa; Chordata; Aves; Charadriiformes; Jacanidae. The record is from RNAcentral.
UAAGACCAACAUGCGACUAAGCUGUCAUAAGCCCAAGAUGCAUUUAAGGCCUUUCCUUAACAUGAUCUUAGCACUCUGAUUAAUAACCCCACGAAAGCCAAGGCACAAACUGGGAUUAGAUACCCCACUAUGCUUGGCCCUAAAUCUAGAUGUUUAUUCCACCAAAACAUCCGCCCGAGAACUACGAGCACAAACGCUUAAAACUCUAAGGACUUGGCGGUACCCCAAACCCACCUAGAGGAGCCUGUUCUAUAAUCGAUAAUCCACGUUACACCCGACCGCUCCUUGCCAAAACAGCCUAUAUACCGCCGUCGUCAGCUCACCUUCACUGAGAGAACAAUAGUGAGCUUAAUAGCUCUGCCCGCUAAUAAGACAGGUCAAGGUAUAGCCUAUGGAACGGAAGAAAUGGGCUACAUUUUCUAAAAUAGAAUACUCUACGAAAAGGGGAUGUGAAACCACCCCUAGAAGGCGGAUUUAGCAGUAAAGCGAGAUAAUAAAGCUCGCUCUAAGCCGGCCCUGGGGUACGUACAUACCGCCCGUCACCCUCC